GAUGAACGCUGACAGAAUGCUUAACACAUGCAAGUCGACUCGAGUCUUCGGACUUGGGUGGCGCACGGGUGAGUAACGCGUAAAGAACUUGCCUCUUAGACCGGGACAACAUCUGGAAACGGAUGCUAAUACCGGAUAUUAUGGUUUUUUCGCAUGGAGGAAUCAUGAAAGCUAGAUGCGCUAAGAGAGAGCUUUGCGUCCCAUUAGCUGGUUGGUGAGGUAACGGCCCACCAAGGCAAUGAUGGGUAGCCGGCCUGAGAGGGUGAACGGCCACAAGGGGACUGAGACACGGCCCUUACUCCUACGGGAGGCAGCAGUGGGGAAUAUUGGACAAUGGACCGCAAGUCUGAUCCAGCAAUUCUGUGUGCACGAUGACGUUUUUCGGAAUGUAAAGUGCUUUCAGUCGGGAAGAAGUCAGUGACGGUACCGACAGAAGAAGCGACGGCUAAAUACGUGCCAGCAGCCGCGGUAAUACGUAUGUCGCAAGCGUUAUCCGGAUUUAUUGGGCGUAAAGCGCGUCUAGGCGGCAAGGAAAGUCUGAUGUGAAAAUGCGGAGCUCAACUCCGUAUGGCGUUGGAAACUGCCUUACUAGAGUACUGGAGAGGUAGGCGGAACUACAAGUGUAGAGGUGAAAUUCGUAGAUAUUUGUAGGAAUGCCGAUGGGGAAGCCAGCCUACUGGACAGAUACUGACGCUGAAGCGCGAAAAGCGUGGGGUAGCAAACAGG
This 726-nucleotide ribosomal RNA is filed under the name uncultured Fusobacterium sp. RNAcentral's name for it is "bacterial SSU rRNA". It matches the Rfam family "Bacterial small subunit ribosomal RNA", at positions 28 to 776 of the family's 1533-position model. Lineage: Bacteria; Fusobacteriati; Fusobacteriota; Fusobacteriia; Fusobacteriales; Fusobacteriaceae. The record is from RNAcentral.